Mustela lutreola (European mink) is the source of this 305-nucleotide long non-coding RNA. RefSeq lists it as uncharacterized. The record is from RefSeq and is a predicted model, not a curated record. NCBI's taxonomy places the organism in Eukaryota, Metazoa, Chordata, Mammalia, Carnivora, Mustelidae. The transcript has 2 exons.
GAGGCCACAUGGAAGUCACGGCUCUCUUCUGACCUCAGUUUGUUGCCUCAUGGUUUUCCUUCAGUUUACUCAGAGACCAACCACAGGGCCAGCCCCUCACAAUAUCCACGAGCUUGGCCUCUUACAGAACUCUCGUCCCCGGUGGCUCUCACAUUCUAGGGUUACUGGUGAUCUUCCUAGAAGCUGGAAGACACAGAGCCCAUCUCUUCCUCUGACUGGCUGAUGGAACAGCAUGUGCAAAGGCCCAGAAGAAAGAGCACAGAUCGCUCAAGGUGGCUGAGGAAUAAAGAAUGCUAAUUAAUGAA